Molecule: unclassified non-coding RNA, 387 nt
Filed under: Xanthoparmelia loxodes
Lineage: Eukaryota; Fungi; Ascomycota; Lecanoromycetes; Lecanorales; Parmeliaceae
Description: partial 28S-18S ribosomal RNA intergenic spacer
Source: RNAcentral
AGCUAUCAUUAUCCUAAGACAUUCGGGGGUCAGCCGGAAUCGAUAUCCGUGGGGAUCCUGUUAGCUGCUUCACUGCACGAUAGGGGAUCCAUGUGAUCGGCCACCGGUAUCCUCCAACCGAGGUGCGUAUGGUGCAGGGUGGGCCGGCGUUCAGCGUCGCGAAUCCCCACGUUUGCCCCGGACCGCGCCUUGGGCAACUCAGUGGGGGCAAUUGGAUCGCCUGUGGGGUCCCUCGGCGGCUUCGGCCCCGGGGGUCCCCCUGGUGGGGCGUCGGGCUCCGGCUCGGCCUCCCGGCUUCGGUAGAUAUCCUGAUCAUCCCUUCGGGGGUGGGGUGUGACUAGGCGUGAACGCUCCUUCGAGGGUGUGCGACCGACCUCUUAAGAUAGU